AUCGGCCUUUCCCCUAACCGGAAGUCUGCAGGACCGGACCCUGUUUAUCGUGUACCCGCCGGUGACUGUGCUCGUCUUUGGUCUUAUCGGUGUAUCCGGAAGUGCACCCGUUACAGGAUAUGGUGUUUUUGGCAGACUUAGGAAUCUCUUUCCACUUCGAUGGACUGGAUUCAAUUUACGCCAAAAUGAAGCAAGAUAUACACCCGGUGAUGUGGAACUAAAUUAUUUAGAAAAGGAGUGAAUAAAAGUAAUUAAGGUGCCACUCUGUGUCCAGACUACCUGUUACCCCCAUAUCCAGUAUGAGAAUUCCUAAAGCCAAUGCCACUAGAAGAUAACGCUGAAGAAAGUGAACAAAGUAUCAUGUGCUGUAUAUUGGAAAUGUUUCAUUAUUAUGUUUUUGAGAGGAGGACCCCUUUAAUCCUGAGCUGUAUUUUCCAUAUCAAGUUUUUGUCUCCUAUCCCACAAGUACAGAUCCCUACAGGUAAAUCAGACCUACUACUUAGUGCAGUUUGAUGUGACCCAGACAUCAAGCACAUACUGUCUAAGUCAGAAAUUCAGCCAUGAUGCUGAUGAAAGGCAUAACGACUGUAUUUGAACUGUCCUGUACUCUGGAGAGAAGCACUGGAGCAAUAAGGGGCGCAGGAGUUGCACCACUUCAGACUCAUUCAGACAGCACUUCAGUCCAGGCUAUGGUUGCAGUUUUAGGUCUCCGAUGAAGUAUGUUUAUACGAAACGCGUCAGACCAUAAACUGAUGUA
This is a long non-coding RNA of Xenopus laevis (African clawed frog), 757 nucleotides long. RefSeq lists it as uncharacterized. The record is from RefSeq and is a predicted model, not a curated record. Lineage: Eukaryota; Metazoa; Chordata; Amphibia; Anura; Pipidae. The transcript has 4 exons.